GAGUUUGAUCGUGGCUCAGAACGAACGCUGGCGGCAGGCUUAACACAUGCAAGUCGAGCGAAGACUUCGGUCUUAGCGGCAGACGGGUGAGUAACGCGUGGGAAUCUACCCAGUCCUUCGGAAUAGCUCCUGGAAACGGGAAUUAAUACCGAAUACGCCCUUUGGGGAAAGAUUUAUCGGGAUUGGAUGAGCCCGCGUAAGAUUAGCUAGUUGGUGGGGUAAUGGCCUACCAAGGCGACGAUCUUUAGCUGGUCUGAGAGGAUGAUCAGCCACACUGGGACUGAGACACGGCCCAGACUCCUACGGGAGGCAGCAGUGGGGAAUAUUGGACAAUGGGCGCAAGCCUGAUCCAGCCAUGCCGCGUGAGUGAUGAAGGCCUUAGGGUUGUAAAGCUCUUUCACCGGUGAAGAUAAUGACGGUAACCGGAGAAGAAGCCCCGGCUAACUUCGUGCCAGCAGCCGCGGUAAG
RNAcentral lists this ribosomal RNA (468 nucleotides) under uncultured Alphaproteobacteria bacterium. RNAcentral's name for it is "bacterial SSU rRNA". It matches the Rfam family "Bacterial small subunit ribosomal RNA", at positions 9 to 524 of the family's 1533-position model. Lineage: Bacteria; Pseudomonadati; Pseudomonadota; Alphaproteobacteria. The record is from RNAcentral.